RNAcentral lists this ribosomal RNA (445 nucleotides) under uncultured bacterium. RNAcentral describes it as "bacterial SSU rRNA". It matches the Rfam family "Bacterial small subunit ribosomal RNA", at positions 338 to 795 of the family's 1533-position model. The record is from RNAcentral.
CCUACGGGUCGCAGCAGUGGGGAAUAUUGGGCAAUGGAGGAAACUCUGACCCAGCGACGCCGCGUGCGGGAUGAAGGCCUUCGGGUUGUAAACCGCUUUCAGUAGGGAAGAAGCGAAAGUGACGGUACCUACAAAAGAAGCACCGGCUAACUAUGUGCCAGCAGCCGCGGUAAUACAUAGGGUGCAAGCGUUGUCCGGAAUUAUUGGGCGUAAAGAGCUCGUAGGUCGUUUGUUACGUCGGAUGUGAAAACCUGAGGCUCAACCUCAGGCCUGCAUUCGAUACGGGCAAACUAGAGUUUGGUAGGGGAGACUGGAAUUCCUGGUGUAGCGGUGGAAUGCGCAGAUAUCAGGAGGAACACCAAUGGCGAAGGCAGGUCUCUGGGCCAAUACUGACACUGAGGAGCGAAAGUCUGGGGAGCGAACAGGAUUAGAUACCCCUGUAGUC